AUACUGAUGAAGAGUCCCAAAAUAGAACGAAACAGUUGUCCAAUAC
RNAcentral lists this non-coding RNA (46 nucleotides) under Trichobilharzia regenti. Lineage: Eukaryota; Metazoa; Platyhelminthes; Trematoda; Strigeidida; Schistosomatidae. The record is from RNAcentral.